GCUUGCUUCAGCAGCAGCAUGUGCACUAAAAAUUGGAAUGCUGCAGACAAGAUUAGCUUGGCCCCUGGGCAAGGAUGACCCGUAAGGAGUGAAGUGUUCCAUAUUUCU
Mus pahari (shrew mouse) is the source of this 108-nucleotide small nuclear RNA. The record is from RefSeq and is a predicted model, not a curated record. Lineage: Eukaryota; Metazoa; Chordata; Mammalia; Rodentia; Muridae.